Long non-coding RNA from Schistocerca gregaria, 2122 nucleotides. RefSeq lists it as uncharacterized. The record is from RefSeq and is a predicted model, not a curated record. The transcript has 5 exons. Lineage: Eukaryota; Metazoa; Arthropoda; Insecta; Orthoptera; Acrididae.
UCGUAGCGCUGCCGCGGAUAGAAACAGACACGGAACUUACUUUGUGGACGACCCUUGUAUAUUAAAAGUGUUCUAUCUCGGAAACUAUUCAGAAUACGGAAUAUAUCCACAUUAAGUGUUUUGCUCAGAAUUGAUAAUGUUACUACCUCCUCCUGACUCAUCUUGUGUGCCUAUGUGUGUGUGUGUGUGUGAGAGAGAGAGAGAGAGAGAGAGAUUUUGUGAUAGAUGCUCAGUUACUGGGAAACACUGACUCUUGCUUUGGGCUGCAUGCUGCACACAGGGGGCGGGUUGGGCAUGGAAAUGGCAAUAAAACUCUGUGACAUAUACUUUCAGUAUUCUGACCCUCAACAGCCAUACCUUUGAGACAUAAGCUGUAAUCAUUUCUGAGCUUGCUCAAGGCACAUAUUGAGUGGUACUGUUUUAGCUGUUAAUAUAAUUAAACCUUGGAAACAACGCAGAGUAAGUUUGGCAACUCUGUGAGCAACGAGUUACUUCCUGGAUGGUACUGAAUUCAAAUGGUUCAAAUGGCUCUGAGCACUAUGGGACUCAACUGCUGUGUUCAUCAGUCCCCUAGAACUUAGAACUACUUAAACCUAACUAACCUAAGGACAUCACACACAUCCAUGCCCGAGGCAGGAUUUGAACCUGCGACCGUAUCAGUCGCACGGUUCCGGACUGCGCGCCUAGAACCACGAGACCACCGCGGCCGGCGGUACAGAAUUGUCCUGGUCAGAGUUGAGAAAAAAUUUCAACUGGAUCAGCAUAAAAAGACAUCUCAGCACCAGAACAACAUAAACAAGACAUGCUUAAAAACUUCACUGCAAUCAUUGAUCUCCUCAUUUUCGAAGCAUGUGAAUGACAAAAAAGAGUGCAAUGAAGAUCUUUGCGAGGCUUUUAAAAAAUCAAGCAUCCCCUUGAAUAUGCUGGAGAAUGUAGGAUUAAGGAAAAAGUACACAGGGAAAGAUAUUCCUCAUGGGUCAAUGCUCAGCAAGCACUAUGUGACCCAAUGUAUGAAAAGAAAUUGGAGAAUAUUAGGAAAGACAUUGGCGAUUCUCCAGUCUGUCCAUCCGACAUCGAAACCACUGAUUCUUGCAGUCGGUAUAUGGUGCAUGUCAUAGUUGGAAAACUCUCUGCUGACGAGGAUGCCUCAUACUGUCCAAAGAACUGGAACAAAUUACACAUGCCACGAUUGCACGCACAGUGCUGGAACCAUUGUGCGUGCUAUGGAGAAGUGAAGAUCAGAAACGUGGGGAGAACAAGGUUUUGGCCAUUGUGACAGAUAGUGCUGCAUAUAUGCUAGAGGCCGCAGAAUUUCUCUGGGUGUUUUACCCUAAAAUUAUUCAUCUAACGUGUCUGGUUCAUGGCGUCCAUUGAGUCACUGAAGAGGUCAUUGCCAGAGGUCAACAGCCUUAUAACCUUGGCAAAGAACUUUUUCAUCAAUUCGAGAGAGAGCUUUCAAGGCUGCUCACGGUGACUGUCCUCUGCCACCUGAACCGGUCUUGAUGAGGUGGGGAACGUGGAUUUCAGUUGCAAACUAUUAUGCAGACAACCACAGAAAAGUUGACGAGGUCCCAAAGAUAGCGAAAAAUCAGCCAUACCAAAAGCCAAGAGUGCCCUGAAGAAUUCCAGCUUGUUACACAUCCUAUCUUUCAUCCGAGCAAACUUAGGUGGCCCUCCAGACCUAACUGAGAAACUUAAGACUCGUAACAUGGAAGUUAUGAAGCACUCAUUGAUGGACUCAGGACCCAGAGCAAGAGUUGGAAAGGUCUGAUCGGUGAGAGACUUAAAAGAAUAUUGGAUGCAGUUUUUCACAGAAAUCCUGGUUGGCCUACAAUUUGGAAGAUUGCUCAGUUACUGGAAGGAGAGAAACGCUCCAAGAAUCUAUAUGAUUUCACAUUAUCUGAUGUCGCUGCUCUUAAAUUUUUACUCGUAGUGUCAUGUGAAGCUGCAUGAUCAUUUUCGAGAUUGAAAAUGUUAUCAUCUGCCCACAAAAAAAAUUUAAUGUAGAGAAUAUGGAAAAUAUUUUGGUACUUCAAACAUACUCUAAUUAUUACAAUUUACCAAACUUACUGUGUAAGUACUAUGUUAUACUUCAUUUUAAUCAUUGAAUUACAACCAUUAU